RNAcentral lists this non-coding RNA (101 nucleotides) under Candidatus Methylobacter favarea. Its description in RNAcentral is "TPP riboswitch aptamer (THI element)". It matches the Rfam family "TPP riboswitch aptamer (THI element)". From Rfam's summary of the family: Vitamin B(1) in its active form thiamin pyrophosphate (TPP) is an essential coenzyme that is synthesised by coupling of pyrimidine and thiazole moieties in bacteria. The previously detected thiamin-regulatory element, thi box was extended, resulting in a new, highly conserved RNA secondary structure, the THI element, which is widely distributed in eubacteria and also occurs in some archaea. Analysis of operon structures identified a large number of new candidate thiamin-regulated genes, mostly transporters, in various prokaryotic organisms. Lineage: Bacteria; Pseudomonadati; Pseudomonadota; Gammaproteobacteria; Methylococcales; Methylococcaceae. The record is from Rfam by way of RNAcentral.
CGUAAAGGCUAGGGGUGCUUCGAUAUUUGUCUGAGGCUGAGAGAGACCCUUUGAACCUGACUCCGGUUAAUACCGGCGUAGGAAAGCCCAUCUUCCCUGCG